This 749-nucleotide ribosomal RNA is filed under the name Priestia koreensis. Its description in RNAcentral is "bacterial SSU rRNA". It matches the Rfam family "Bacterial small subunit ribosomal RNA", at positions 57 to 785 of the family's 1533-position model. The record is from RNAcentral. Lineage: Bacteria; Bacillati; Bacillota; Bacilli; Caryophanales; Bacillaceae.
GCAAGUCGAGCGGACUUGUUAGAAGCUUGCUUCUAACAAGUUAGCGGCGGACGGGUGAGUAACACGUGGGUAACCUGCCUGUAAGAUGGGGAUAACUCCGGGAAACCGGAGCUAAUACCGAAUAACACUUUCGCUCGCAUGAGCGGAUGUUAAAAGACGGUUUCGGCUGUCACUUACAGAUGGACCCGCGGCGCAUUAGCUAGUUGGUGAGGUAACGGCUCACCAAGGCGACGAUGCGUAGCCGACCUGAGAGGGUGAUCGGCCACACUGGGACUGAGACACGGCCCAGACUCCUACGGGAGGCAGCAGUAGGGAAUCUUCCGCAAUGGACGAAAGUCUGACGGAGCAACGCCGCGUGAGUGAUGAAGGUUUUCGGAUCGUAAAACUCUGUUGUUAGGGAAGAACAAGUAUGAGAGUAACUGCUCGUACCCUUGACGGUACCUAACCAGAAAGCCACGGCUAAACUACGUGCCAGCAGCCGCGGUAAUACGUAGGUGGCAAGCGUUGUCCGGAAUUAUUGGGCGUAAAGCGCGCGCAGGCGGUUCCUUAAGUCUGAUGUGAAAGCCCACGGCUCAACCGUGGAGGGUCAUUGGAAACUGGGGAACUUGAGUGCAGAAGAGGAAAGCGGAAUUCCACGUGUAGCGGUGAAAUGCGUAGAGAUGUGGAGGAACACCAGUGGCGAAGGCGGCUUUCUGGUCUGUAACUGACGCUGAGGCGCGAAAGCGUGGGGAGCAAACAGGAUUAGAUAC